UACGUAGGGGGCGAGCGUUGUCCGGAUUUAUUGGGCGUAAAGAGCUCGUAGGCGGCUGUUCGAGUCGGGUGUGAAAUCCUGAGGCUUAACCUUGGGUCUGCAUUCGAUACUGGGCGGCUUGAGUCUGGUAGGGGGAUCUGGAAUUCCUGGUGUAGCGGUGGAAUGCGCAGAUAUCGUAAGGAAGACCAGUGGCGAAGGCGGGUCUCUGGACAGUUCCUGACGCUGAGGCACGAAGGCCAGGGGAGCAAACGGG
This 253-nucleotide ribosomal RNA is filed under the name uncultured bacterium. Its description in RNAcentral is "partial 16S ribosomal RNA". It matches the Rfam family "Bacterial small subunit ribosomal RNA", at positions 524 to 776 of the family's 1533-position model. The record is from RNAcentral.